This 253-nucleotide ribosomal RNA is filed under the name uncultured bacterium. Its description in RNAcentral is "partial 16S ribosomal RNA". It matches the Rfam family "Bacterial small subunit ribosomal RNA", at positions 524 to 776 of the family's 1533-position model. The record is from RNAcentral.
UACAGAGGUCCCAAGCGCUGUUCGGAUUCACUGGGCGUAAAGGGUGCGUAGGCGGUCGGGUAAGUCUGAUGUGAAAUCUCACAGCUUAACUGUGAAACUGCAUUGGAUACUAUCCGGCUUGAGGAAUGGAGGGGAGACUGGAAUACUUGGUGUAGCAGUGAAAUGCGUAGAUAUCAAGUGGAACACCAGUGGCGAAGGCGAGUCUCUGGACAUUUCCUGACGCUGAGGCACGAAAGCCAGGGGAGCAAACGGG